UGGACCUGAUAUCAGGCAAG
This 20-nucleotide ribosomal RNA is filed under the name Phytophthora cactorum. RNAcentral describes it as "partial 28S ribosomal RNA". Lineage: Eukaryota; Oomycota; Peronosporomycetes; Peronosporales; Peronosporaceae. The record is from RNAcentral.